GCUGGGCACGGUGGCACGUGCCUGUAGUCUUAGCUACUUGGGAGGCUGAGGUGGGAGGAUCGCUUGAGCCCAGGAGUUCUGGGCUGUAGUGCGCUAUGCCUCACUAAGUUCGGCAUCAAUAUGGUGACCUCCUAGGAGCGGGGGACCACCAGGUUGUCUAAGGAGGGGUGAACUGGCCCAGGUGGGAAAUGGAGUAGGUCAAAACUCCUAUGCUGAUCAGUAGUGGGAUCGCGCCUGUGAAUAGCCACUGCACUCCAGCCUGGGCAACAUAGCAAGACCUGUCUCUA
Molecule: unclassified non-coding RNA, 287 nt
Organism: Callithrix jacchus (white-tufted-ear marmoset)
Lineage: Eukaryota; Metazoa; Chordata; Mammalia; Primates; Cebidae
Rfam family: Metazoan signal recognition particle RNA
About the family: The signal recognition particle (SRP) is a universally conserved ribonucleoprotein. It is involved in the co-translational targeting of proteins to membranes.
Source: Ensembl